UUACCUUGUUACGACUUCACCCCAAUCACCAGCCCCACCUUCGACAGCUGCCUCCUUUUCAGGUUAGCCCACUGGCUUCGGGUGUUGCCGGCUCUCAUGGUGUGACGGGCGGUGUGUACAAGGCCCGGGAACGUAUUCACCGCGACAUUCUGAUUCGCGAUUACUAGCAACUCCAGCUUCAUGCAGGCGAGUUGCAGCCUGCAAUCCGAACUGGGACCACUUUUAAAAGAUUUGCUCCGCAUCGCUGCCUCGCUUCUCUCUGUAGUGGCCAUUGUAGCACGUGUGUAGCCCAGAGCAUAAGGGGCAUGAUGAUUUGACGUCAUCCCCACCUUCCUCCAGGUUACCCUGGCAGUCUCGUUAGAGUGCCCAACCUAAUGCUGGCAACUAACGAUAGGGGUUGCGCUCGUUGCGGGACUUAGCCCAACAUCUCACGACACGAGCUGACGACAACCAUGCACCACCUGUCUCAUCGCUCCCUAAAAGGGCACUCCCGUGUUUUCACAGGAUUCGAUGGAUGUCAAGCCCUGGUAAGGUUCUUCGCGUUGCUUCGAAUUAAACCACAUGCUCCGCUGCUUGUGCGGGCCCCGUCAAUUUCUUUGAGUUUUAAUUUUGCGACCGUACUCCCAGGGGGAGUGGUUAAUUUGUUAACUUCGGCACGAAAGGU
Molecule: ribosomal RNA, 664 nt
Filed under: uncultured bacterium
Lineage: Bacteria
Description: partial 16S ribosomal RNA
Source: RNAcentral